CAAUAGCGUAUACUAAUGUUGUUGCAGUUAAAAAGCUCGUAGUUGAACUUCUGGUAGGAGUGUCCCGGCCUUUUUGUUUUUACAAAUUGUAUGCUGUGUGACAUCUCUGGCCAUCCUUCUUCUUUGUUUAAAGAAGAUCUUUCACUGUAAAAAAAUUAGGGUGUUCAAAGCAAAAGUUUCUUUGGAAUAUAUUAGUAUGGGAUGAUAAGAUAGGCUCUAGAUGCUAUUUUGUUGGUUUGCACAUUUAGAGAAUGAUUAACAGGGACAGUUGGGGGUAUUCGUAUUUACAUGUCAGAGGUGAAAUUCUUGGAUUUUGGAAAGACGAACUACUGCGAAAGCAUUUACCAAGGACGUUUUCAUUAA
This 363-nucleotide ribosomal RNA is filed under the name uncultured eukaryote. RNAcentral's name for it is "partial 18S ribosomal RNA". It matches the Rfam family "Eukaryotic small subunit ribosomal RNA", at positions 592 to 976 of the family's 1831-position model. The record is from RNAcentral.